UGAAUCUCGCUAGAUCGAAACUGUGGCGCCUCCUCCUCAUCUCACCGAAAAAGAAACAGCACCCACAGUCUGCAUACCAUCGCCGCCGGUUGCAGUGCCGUACCCGGCCUCUCCGCAAAUCCAACGCUGCUCCAUGUCCAUGCCGUGGUGAUCUUCACCAACUCCGGCCAGGCCACCAGUGCUGCGGGAUCAAAGGUCCUGCCCACCAGCGGCCAGCAUACGAGGACGUCGCCAAGUACCAUCUGUCCAGGAAGAAGCAAGCAGGUUCUUGGUGAUGAGAGUGGAACUGUGAGGACCAUGAUCUCCUCUGUUGAUCUCUGCACUUUGGCAGAAGCAGCGAUUUCAGGGGAGCAACAGUUCAGUCUUCAGAAACCGCAGUUAUUUUUCUUCUAGGGCAGCUUAGUUAAGCAGAUGGAAUUUGAGUAGAGUGCAAGAUUGAUGGGAUGAUCAACACCAAGACAACCUUUGCUGCAGUGCUACAUAACUUGUUAAAUUUUGAUGUAUUCAAACUAGUUGGUGUAGCUGGUGUGUGUCGGAUACUUAUGCGUUUCAGUUGUGCGUGUGUUAUCGACUAAUUUUAUCAUUGGAUGGUUUCAUUAAUGAUUUCUACGA
Long non-coding RNA from Panicum hallii, 612 nucleotides. RefSeq lists it as uncharacterized. The record is from RefSeq and is a predicted model, not a curated record. The transcript has 4 exons. NCBI's taxonomy places the organism in Eukaryota, Viridiplantae, Streptophyta, Magnoliopsida, Poales, Poaceae.